This 477-nucleotide ribosomal RNA is filed under the name uncultured bacterium. RNAcentral describes it as "partial 16S ribosomal RNA". It matches the Rfam family "Bacterial small subunit ribosomal RNA", at positions 30 to 507 of the family's 1533-position model. The record is from RNAcentral.
AUUGAACGCUGGCGGCAUGCCUUACACAUGCAAGUCGAACGGUAACAGGUUAAGCUGACGAGUGGCGAACGGGUGAGUAAUGUAUCGGAACGUGCCCAGUCGUGGGGGAUAACUGCUCGAAAGAGCAGCUAAUACCGCAUACGACCUGAGGGUGAAAGCGGGGGAUCGCAAGACCUCGCGCGAUUGGAGCGGCCGCUAUCAGAUUAGGUAGUUGGUGAGGUAAAGGCUCACCAAGCCGACGAUCUGUAGCUGGUCUGAGAGGACGACCAGCCACACUGGGACUGAGACACGGCCCAGACUCCUACGGGAGGCAGCAGUGGGGAAUAUUGGACAAUGGGCGCAAGCCUGAUCCAGCCAUGCCGCGUGCGGGAAGAAGGCCUUCGGGUUGUAAAGCGCUUUUGUCAGGGAAGAAAAGGUUCUGGCUAAUACCUGGGACUCAUGACGGUACCUGAAGAAUAAGCACCGGCUAACUACGUG